RNAcentral lists this small RNA (1175 nucleotides) under Pongo abelii (Sumatran orangutan). RNAcentral describes it as "retained intron". Lineage: Eukaryota; Metazoa; Chordata; Mammalia; Primates; Hominidae. The record is from RNAcentral.
GUGGGCAGGGACUCAGAAGAGGGGCUUCAGGAGACCACCAGCCCGGGGCACCAUGGGAGGCGGCGCAGAGCCUGAGCCCAGGGAUUUGGAGAUAGCCGCCCCCGGCACCCCAGCACCAUGGGGAGGAACUCCUAGACUGUGGGAAAGUGGUCAGAGACCCCGGCCCAGAGCAGGAUGGUAGAGGACCCUGGAGGGUCGCUAGGUUUGGGGGGCCGCCGAGGGCCGCUGUUCUCCAGCAGGUAGCCCCUGACCCUGGGCUGUCCUCAUUUGAAGUCUUGACUCUCCCACCGUUUGGUCUCUGAGUCAGGGAGGGGGCCCUUGUGGACAUCUGGGCCAGAGGAGCUGCAGGCCUGGCGGUCUCUGGAGGCCCCUCCUGAAGAUCUGGGUGCGGUGCAGCACCUCCCCAGGCCGCCUUGCCCUCUGCUCGCUCUCUCCCUGAGCCCCCAGAGGCUUCCCUUGACUUCCUUUGGGUAGUAGGAGGUACAGCUGGCCAGAGGGGGCUCCAGCCUGGUGCUCGAAUGCCAGGGUCUGCUAGUGGCUGCUGCUCACGCCCCUCCCCACCCCCAGUCCUCCUGGCUGACAAGGAGGGUGGGCCACCGGCAGUGGACGAGGUGCUGGAUGAGGCUGUGCCCGAGUACCGGGCGCCGGGGAGGAAGAGCCUCUUGGAGAUCCGGCAGCUGGAUCCGGACGACAGGAGCCUGGCCAAGUACAAGCGGGUGCUGCUGGGGCCCCUGCCACCAGCCGUGGGUGACCAGGCUGACACUCCUGUCCGAGCAGGCUCCAGGGCCAGUCGUCAUGGAUCUCACAGGGGACCUGGCUGUUCUGAAGGACCAGGUGUUUGUCCUGAAGGAGGGUGUUGAUUACAGGGUGAAGAUCACCUUCAAGGUCCACAGGGAGAUUGUCAGUGGCCUCAAGUGUCUGCACCACACCUACCGCCGGGGCCUGCGCGUGGACAAGACCGUCUACAUGGUGGGCAGCUACGGCCCGAGUGCCCAGGAGUAUGAGUUUGUGACUCCGGUGGAGGAAGCGCCGAGGGGUGCGCUGGUGCGGGGCCCCUACCUGGUGGUGUCCCUCUUCACCGACGAUGAUAGGACGCACCACCUGUCCUGGGAGUGGGGUCUCCGCAUCUGCCAGGACUGGAAGGACUGAACCCCCAGUCCUUGUCUCCCCUACCU